AGGAUGAACGCUGGCGGCGUGCCUAACACAUGCAAGUCGAACGUCCUGUCUCGCAAGAGGCAGGGAGUGGCGGACGGGUGAGUACCACGUGGGUCAUCUACCGUGAGGUGAGGAAUACCGGCGAGAAAUCGCCGACAAGACCGCAUAGGCUCGAUGCAAGUCGAGCAAAGCUCUUUCGAGAGAGGGAGCGCCACACGAGGAGCCUGCGCCCGAUUAGCUAGCUGGUGGAGUAACGGUUCACCAGGGCGACGAUCGGUAGCUGGUCUGAGAGGACGAUCAGCCACACUGGGAUUGAGAACGGCCCAGACUCCUACGGGGGGCAGCAGUGAGGAAUUUUCGUCAAUGGGGGCAACCCUGAACGAGCAACGCCGCGUGCAGGAGAAGGUUUCGGAUCGUAAACUGCUUUUCUCGGGGAAGAGAACGGACGGUACCCGAGGAAUCAGCCCGGCUAACUACGCGCCAGCAGCCGCGGU
Molecule: ribosomal RNA, 473 nt
Filed under: uncultured bacterium
Lineage: Bacteria
Description: SSU rRNA
Rfam family: Bacterial small subunit ribosomal RNA
Source: RNAcentral